Molecule: non-coding RNA, 289 nt
Filed under: Ipomoea nil (Japanese morning glory)
Lineage: Eukaryota; Viridiplantae; Streptophyta; Magnoliopsida; Solanales; Convolvulaceae
Description: Eukaryotic small subunit ribosomal RNA
Rfam family: Eukaryotic small subunit ribosomal RNA
Source: Rfam by way of RNAcentral
CUUGCGGCUUAAUUUGACUCAACGUGAGGAAACUUAUGAGGUCCUGACAUAGUAAGAAUUGACAGACUGAUAGCUCUUUCUAGAUUCUAUAGGUGGUGGUGCAUGAUUGUUCUUAGUUGGUGGAGCGAUUUGUCUACUUAAUUUCGUUAACGAAUGAGACCUCAAUCUGCUAACUAGCUAUGCGGAGGUAUCCCUCUGCGUGAUAAAUUUUUAAUUGUUUGACAUUUGGAAACAAAAAAUAUAUUAGAACUUGAUACAUUAUAAAGUGACGCCCUAAGAAGCUUGUGAG